Acanthosepion pharaonis is the source of this 98-nucleotide non-coding RNA. The record is from the annotation of a GenBank genome assembly. NCBI's taxonomy places the organism in Eukaryota, Metazoa, Mollusca, Cephalopoda, Sepiida, Sepiidae.
GAUGAAAUACCGGUUUCCGCACGAUCUCCGAAGUCAAGCAACGUCGUGCCUGAUCAGUAACUAGAUGGGUGACCGCUUGGGAAUACCAGGUGCUGUUA